Bison bison bison is the source of this 81-nucleotide small nucleolar RNA. Its record names the gene SNORD115. It matches the Rfam family "Small nucleolar RNA SNORD115". Rfam says of the family: HBII-52 is a member of the C/D class of snoRNAs, which contain the C (UGAUGA) and D (CUGA) box motifs. The record is from Ensembl. Lineage: Eukaryota; Metazoa; Chordata; Mammalia; Artiodactyla; Bovidae.
GGCAUGAUGAAUAGAAUGCAUAUAGUCCUGAAGAGAGAUGAUGACCCAAAAGUCAUGCUCAGUACAAUUACACUGAGGCCC